Molecule: ribosomal RNA, 226 nt
Filed under: uncultured bacterium
Lineage: Bacteria
Description: partial 16S ribosomal RNA
Rfam family: Bacterial small subunit ribosomal RNA
Source: RNAcentral
GCGUUGUCCGGAUUUAUUGGGCGUAAAGAGCUCGUAGGUGGCUCGGUAAGUCGGGUGUUAAACCCCCAGGCUCAACCUGGGGACGCCACUCGAUACUGCUGUGGCUAGAGUCCGGUAGGGGAGCGUGGAAUUCCUGGUGUAGCGGUGAAAUGCGCAGAUAUCAGGAGGAACACCAGCGGCGAAGGCGGCGCUCUGGGCCGGUACUGACACUGAGGAGCGAAAGCGU